RNAcentral lists this long non-coding RNA (5410 nucleotides) under Lactuca sativa (garden lettuce). RNAcentral describes it as "long non-coding RNA (LSAT_LNC006683)". The record is from RNAcentral. Lineage: Eukaryota; Viridiplantae; Streptophyta; Magnoliopsida; Asterales; Asteraceae.
AUCCCCAAAUGUACCUCUCCACCUUCUUCGAUUCCGGGUUUACCAUACUUGGGCACAAGGCUGACAAAUCACUGAACCUAGCCGUGUAAGUGAUUACGUCCGAUCCGGUCAUCCUUAGGUUCCAUAGCUCAUGCUCUAAUUUUUGGAUUUCGCCCCUCGGGCAGUAUUCUUCCAGCAUCAAGAUUUUGAGAUCUUCCCAGCUCAUGGCAUUAGCAACUGGGAGAGAUAGGGCAUCCACAUGUCCCUUCCACCAGGUGAGGGCUCGAUCAGAGAAAGUGCAAGCGGCGAACUUGACUUUGCUGGUCUCUGGGCAUGCACAUAUCUCGAAGACCGUUUCGGUCUUCUCGAACCAUUGCAUAAGUGCAAUGACUCCUCCUACCCCGUUGAAAGUUUUUGGCUUUGCAUUCGAAAAUUCCUUGUAUGUGCAUUCUCUGAUAUAACCAUGGCCAGUGCCAUGAUUUAAGUGGUUGGUACUGCUUCCAGUUCCACCAGCUUCGUUAGUGUUUAUCUGCGUAAGAGCAGCUGCUACUGCUGCAGUGAUAGCAGCCUGAACCAUGACAGGAUCAUAUUGUGGGGGUGGUGGCGGCGGCGUAGGUGUUGCGUUGUUGAUGCGACGUGCAGAUCUACGAGGCGGCAUCGCUGCCAAAGAAAUAACAAUGAAGACAAUAAGUCUUUUAAUGAUUGUAUGGUUUGGGUAGUAGGGGUCUCCUGCUAGGUGGAAAUCCGGCCAUUGUGUUUGUACGAGAAUAGGGAGAUAAGGAUUGUCUAGAACUAAGGCACAUAAGGUUGACAUCAAAGUUAAACUAUCGUAUGCAUAAAAUACUCCUAUAGUAUUCUAAAUGUUAUGUUUGAUUCUAAAGUUUAUAAGUUUGGUAAGUUUUAAAUUUGUUGUCCAUUGCAGACACUCCUUGGCAUACGUUAGUCGGCUCUUGGACAAAUAUAGUUGAUCAGGCUAUAUUCUUCCCAGUUCCGAUUACAUGUCCCAAGGCAUACCUGCACUGCACAACUUAUUUAUAAUACUUCUAUAUUGUUUUAAUUAUGAUACUGACCAUGUUAUUAAUAUGAAAUGAAUGCAUGCCUACUUUACAAAAACUAAAUAAAUUUAAUUUUAAAAGUAUGACUCUUACUCAGAGUGUUUUUGCCCAGUUGUGUUUAUAGUUGUAUACCAAAAAUGGUUUUGAUAUACUUAAUUCACUAUAAACAAUGCUCUGAUACCAAUCUGUCACACCCCCAAACCAGAACGGCGGAAACGUUCGGGGGCGGAGGACGUCAUGUCAAAUAUCAUAACAAUUGAAUAGUAAAGAAAGUACACACCACCAUAAUAUAAAUAUAUUUGAAAAGUUUACAUGAUUGUAUAUGUUACAUGUUUGCAAAAGAAAUCAAAUACAAUAUGGUGAUCCAAAAUAUGUUACUAACGCCAACGCGUUAGUCUUCAAAAGUAGUUGCUACCUGGUCUAGCAGUUUCCUGAGAAUACAAGUUAUUUCAAAGAAAAAGUGUCAACAUUUAAGUUGGUGAGUUCAUAAGUGGUGUUUUGAGAAAAUGUAUGCCAUUCGAAAGUGCGUGUAUGUUUUCCAGAAAAUACCUUAUUUUCUAUUUGAUGUAUGAAAUAGUUUGAAAGAUUGUUGUAUGUACUAUAUGUAUUUGAACCAGGAAAAUCCCUUAUUUUCCUAAAAGUGAAAUGCAGUCUCAAAUGACCAAGACUGUAAGCUAUAAGAAACUAUGACAUGCUCAAAAGAAUGAUGUUGUAAAUCGUUAUUGUACAAAAUGAAUGUAUUUGAACCAGGAAAAUCCCUUAUUUUCCUAAAAGUGAAGUGCAGUCUUAUUGUUAAGUAAAACUAGUUGUGGAAGUGUUUUAACCUGAGUUUUGAUCAUGCCGAUAAUACCCUAGAAUAUAGUUAUUACCCCUCGAGCAUGAUUGAGUUAUGUAUUACUACGUGCAUGAGUCAUUGUUUUCGCGUGUUGUGAGUUCCUCAUAACCAUACUAGACGCAGUACCUAAUGUUGAAAUUUGUCACCCCAAUGACGGACUAUAGCUAACAGUCAGGGUGCAGAGUUGUCAGCCCCGUAUAGAUCUAUACACACUUGUCACGCUCUCCCUCCAGGAGACUCUGGUUAUAGGUGAGGACUUUCGUUUGGUACAAACAAAGCCAUAUGCCAUCACAUGAUUGCUAACAACAAGUUCACGAGUAAUAUGAUGAAAAUCGUUCGUAUGAAAUGAUUUCGUUUUCUACCGUGUUACAAAAACGUGAUGAUGAGUUGAGUUUUCUUGUAAAAGCAUCAUGUUAUAGUUGAAAUGGUUACUCUUGAUAUGAUGUAGUAUGCAAACGUAUAAAUAAAACCUAUUUCUAUUUAUAAAACAUAUUGUAUCCCAAGAGGGUAAAGUUGUGUUGUGAGGUGUUUUGCAUGAUAAUAACUUCAUAAGAUAGUUUAAAACAACAGUAUGAAAAGUAUAUAAAAAGAUCGAUGUUUCACACGAUUUUAGUUGUGUGUUUACUUGUAUUCCCCCCCUUAAAAGUGUUUCAAAAGCAUUUAAAAAGCAUUUAAAGUGUGGUUGUAGGGGUAUGAACUCACUUGAUUGAAGUGGUUGAUUUGAAGUAGUCGAGAGGAGAAUCGAGCAGAACUUCGACAGGAAGAGUUGAAAACGCGGGAAAAUAUCGGGAUUCUCGGGAAUCUCGGGAAUCUCGAGAACACAAAACCUUCCUUCGGGACUUGAAGGUGAAAACCGGGGCUUUGGGAGGGUCUCGGGGGCUUAAACGCAGAGUUUCGGCGCGAGAAAGAAAGGAACUGAACAAUGGAACUCGGAGCCCUUGAAAUCUACUUAUAGGGGCAUUUUUGGGGUGUGCCACGUCGUGGCAAGUGAUGGCCACGUCGUGGGGAGUCAAACCUAUCCUCUUCCAUUGAUUGGACGCCCUCAGUCACUUGCCGGGUCGCGGCAAGCUUGUGCCACGUCGUGGGGCCUGACAGCCUCAGAUUUUGGACCCCGAACUUGUAAAAUCCAUAACUUUCGCAUACGAGCUCCGUUUUCGACGUUCUUUAUAUGCACGCGUAGCUAAAAAUAUGAUCUACAACUCUCGUUUAGACUUCAUCGGCAAAUUUUGAAUUUAUUUUUAAUUAUUUAUUUUUAACGGGCCGGAACACGAAAAGUCCGUUAAAAUUCCAUAACUUCUUCAUCCGAUGUCCGUUUUCGUCAGACUUUUCGCCGUUGCGCUACUAAUGUUGAGACCUUCGAUUCUCAUUUAGGUUGUUUUGGUCAAAAGUAUCUCGAGCUCUAUUUCGAGUUUUUAGCUGUCUACUGCUAUACCCGAACCUUGGAAAAAUCAUAACUUCCUCAUACGAAGUCAGAUUUGGACGUUCUUUUUAUGUACGCUCACGGUUUGAUGUUAUCUAUAACUUUUAUUUAGAUACUUAAGGCUAAAAACUAUUGUAUUGAAACUUCGCGUUUUUCGUUUAAUCGGUGUUGCCGGUUUUGUCGGGAAUUUUAGAAUGGUUAUAACUUCCUCGUUAUAACUCGGAUUUUUGUGUUCUUUAUAUGUAUGAAAACCUUGUUACGAUAUUUACCACUUAGUAUACUCAAUUACGGUUUUAUAAAAGUUUAAAUUUUGACCUGAAUUUUGCUGUUGUUACAUUAUCCCCCCGUUAGAGAGAAUUUCGUCCCGAAAUUCGCAUUUUGACUGGGACUCCAAUUCUUGCGGGCAGGCGAGAGUGCUUCUGGUCGAUUUGUUCCUCUUGUUCCUUUAUGAAUCUAGAUCCUAAUGUGCGUGUUUCAGCGGACCUUCAUUACUCCGCCUAUCACUUCGACCGAUCGGGAUCGUGUGGUUUUGGGUUUAUUUACUUAUGUUCUUCUAAAUGCUAGCACAUUCACUCGAUGCAUUAGGGCAGCUACGUUUUAAAGUUCAUGGUUGAAUUUACUCCUAGUUUCUGAGCUUGGAUUUGAAUGUUCUGUUGGGGGAUACUACAGGAAGGUUGUAAAGAUAUAGUACUCCUCACAUGAGUACCUCGAGGUUUUUAAACUAGAAACCAAUUAGGGUUAGUGUCGGGUUUGUCGUGAUAAAUCGAUCGAGUUUCGUUAGUCGAUGGUUAAAGUGAAAGGGUCUACUGGUAUGGGUAGGGCCACACCAAUCCACGUCGAAUGCCGACGUCGGUACUUCUCAUUGUAAGACGUUCGUUAGUGGGAUAGUGCAUUCUACGUAUGUGUUCUCAGUGCUUUUUAGUCUAUCUCUAUUAUUACUACUAUGAAAGUUUUGAUUAAUGAUUGGGGUGUUUAUUCGAGUAGAUUUUUAAACUUGCGACUCACGGAACUCUUCUGCGUUCCUACUAUCAAAAUGGAAUGUAUGCAAAUAAGUUAUCAAGGAGAAAUGUACCCAGAAUAACCGUGGGGUCUGCAAUAGCCUCCUCUUGGCCCAUUGCGAAUACUCGGCCUCCUCCACUAGCAUUCUUGUUGUUUGCCUUCGGGCAGUUCCGUCGGAAGUGUCCCGUUGCUCCGCACUCAUAACAAGUACGGUCUACUCCCACAUUUGCAGCUGGAGCGGUUGGUUGGGCUAUUUCCCCGCAGUAGCGGACGGUGUGUCCCUUACUAUUGCACCUAAUGCAAUGCAUUUCACGACAGGGUCCGUGAUGAUGAAAGUUGCAUCGGUUGCACUUAGGCUGGUUGCCGUUGUACGACCUUGUGGGUGUAGGGGUGGUAGGGAUAGUAACAGAAUGAGCUGUCACUAACUGUUGCCUCUUGGGGUUCUCUUGCAUGGUUUCCCCCUUCCUCUUAUCCCAGGGUUUCCUUCGGUCCUCUAUAUCCUUCGGUGGCUCCGAGACAGCGGUAAUAGUACCCUGUUUAACACCGUGAUCAAUCAAUCGUUGAGCCAAGCGCUUCGCGCUGUCAAACGUGAUUGGGUUAGAGGCCAGGACAUGCCCUUGGAUCUGGGGUGAUAAUCCCCAAAUGUACCUCUCCACCUUCUUCGAUUCCGGGUUUACCAUACUUGGGCACAAGGCUGACAAAUCACUGAACCUAGCCGUGUAAGUGAUUACGUCCGAUCCGGUCAUCCUUAGGUUCCAUAGCUCAUGCUCUAAUUUUUGGAUUUCGCCCCUCGGGCAGUAUUCUUCCAGCAUCAAGAUUUUGAGAUCUUCCCAGCUCAUGGCAUUAGCAACUGGGAGAGAUAGGGCAUCCACAUGUCCCUUCCACCAGGUGAGGGCUCGAUCAGAGAAAGUGCAAGCGGCGAACUUGACUUUGCUGGUCUCUGGGCAUGCACAUAUCUCGAAGACCGUUUCGGUCUUCUCGAACCAUUGCAUAAGUGCAAUGACUCCUCCUACCCCGUUGAAAGUUUUUGGCUUUGCAUUCGAAAAUUCCUUGUAUGUGCAUUCUCUGAUAUAACCAUGGCCAGUGCCAUGAUUUAAGUGGUUGGUACUGCUUCCAGUUCCA